AUUGAACGCUGGCGGAAUGCUUUACACAUGCAAGUCGAACGGCAGCACGGGUGCUUGCACCUGGUGGCGAGUGGCGAACGGGUGAGUAAUACAUCGGAACGUACCCAGUUAUGGGGGAUAACGAAUCGAAAGAUUCGCUAAUACCGCAUACGCCCUGAGGGGGAAAGCGGGGGACCGUAAGGCCUCGCGUAAUUGGAGCGGCCGAUGUCUGAUUAGCCAGUUGGUGGGGUCAAGGCUCACCAAGGCGACGAUCAGUAGCAGGUCUGAGAGGAUGAUCUGCCACACUGGAACUGGGACACGGUCCAGACUCCUACGGGAGGCAGCAGUGGGGAAUUUUGGACAAUGGGGGAAACCCUGAUCCAGCCAUUCCGCGUGAGUGAAGAAGGCCUUCGGGUUGUAAAGCUCUUUCGGCAGGGAAGAAACGCUCUGGCUUAAUACGCCGGGGUAAUGACGGUACCUGAAGAAGAAGCACCGGCUAACUACGUGCCAGCCGCCGCCGUAA
Molecule: ribosomal RNA, 502 nt
Filed under: uncultured bacterium
Lineage: Bacteria
Description: partial 16S ribosomal RNA
Rfam family: Bacterial small subunit ribosomal RNA
Source: RNAcentral